This 1159-nucleotide long non-coding RNA is filed under the name Monodelphis domestica (gray short-tailed opossum). RNAcentral's name for it is "lncRNA (ENSMODG00000049135.1)". The record is from RNAcentral. Lineage: Eukaryota; Metazoa; Chordata; Mammalia; Didelphimorphia; Didelphidae.
AUACUCGGUUCAUUUUGGCAAUUACUAUCUUGUUUGUUGUUUUUCAGUCAUGCAAGAUUCUUUGUGACGCCAUUUGGGAUUCUCAUGGCAAAGAUACUGGAGUGGUUGGCCAUUUCCUUCUCUAGCUCAUUUUACAGAAGAGGAAACUGAGGCAAAUGGGAGGAAUUCUAAAGAACAAGAAGAAUUCAGUACAGCUUCCCAAAGGACUGCUCAAAGAUCUCCAGAAAUUUUGUAAGCGAAUCAGCCCCCAAGCCAUUUUUGAAAAUUCUUUGGACUCAGGCACUGAAGAAGAUGGAAAAGCUAACCAAAUGAUGUUGGACUCUUCCCACCCCCAUCACCACCCAGUUUCCAUUGUAGCUAGUUUCUACUGAGGCCAGGUAGAACCAGGAACCUGGGAGGAAAUGGAUCCAGAUCCAGCCCACCACCUUAGAACACCAAGAGAAUGGAAGUCUUCAUAGAGUUUUUGGCUUCUGGGAGUCUGUGCUGUAUGUAGCACUGAACAUACUAAAUUGUGGAUUAUGUCAGUGUUGUCUUUGGGGGCACCCAUUUGGGGAACCUGCUUUCUUCCCCUUCUCCCACCAGCAUGUCCACUCACGAUUUCUCCACUGCAACAACCCAUCAGCUAUGCCUGCCAAACUGUUUCUGAGGCAACUAGUGGGUAGUGGAUAGAGUGCUAGUCUUGGAAUCAGGAAGACCUGAAUUAAAAUGCCACCUCUGUCACUUACUAGCUGUGUUAACCAUGCCGUAAUACACUUCUCAGUGCCUUGAUUUCCUUAUCUGAUAAAUGGAGAUAACACUUAUUGCAUAAGGUUGUUGUGAUGUUCAAUAAGAUAGCAUAGGUAAAGUGUUUUAAAAUCCUUAACAUGCCUUAUAUGGCUAUUUUCUUUUUUUAACUUGGAAAUUUUUAUAUUAUCUGGAAUAUUGUCUUAGCAGUCAGCACUUGUUCAUUACAAUUUCUUUUUUUUCUUUAGAAUAUUUUUCCAUGGUUCCAUGAUUCAUGAUUCCUCCCCCCUCUUCACUAUCCCCUCCUAGAGCUGACAAGCAGUUCCACUGGUUUAUACAUGUAUCAUUGAUCAAAAACCCAUUUCCAUUUUAUUCAUAUUUGCAGUAGAGAGAUCUUUUAACAUCAAAACCCUAAUCAUAUCCCCAUCACACUAUG